UACGUAGGUGGCAAGCGUUGUCCGGAUUUACUGGGCGUAAAGAGCGCGCAGGCGGUCGAAUAAGUCGAAUGUGAAAGCCCCCGGCUUAACUGGGGAGGGUCAUUCGAUACUGCUCGACUUGAAGGCAGGAGAGGGUAGUGGAAUUCCCGGUGUAGUGGUGAAAUGCGUAGAUAUCGGGAGGAACACCAGUGGCGAAGGCGACUACCUGGCCUGUUCUUGACGCUGAGGCGCGAAAGCGGGGGGAGCAAACGGG
This 253-nucleotide ribosomal RNA is filed under the name uncultured bacterium. RNAcentral's name for it is "partial 16S ribosomal RNA". It matches the Rfam family "Bacterial small subunit ribosomal RNA", at positions 524 to 776 of the family's 1533-position model. The record is from RNAcentral.